This 321-nucleotide ribosomal RNA is filed under the name uncultured eukaryote. RNAcentral describes it as "partial 18S ribosomal RNA". It matches the Rfam family "Eukaryotic small subunit ribosomal RNA", at positions 1469 to 1796 of the family's 1831-position model. The record is from RNAcentral.
CCCCUUAGAUGUCCUGGGCCGCACGCGCGCUACAAUGACACGUUCAACAAGUUCUAUCCUGGCCUGGAAAGGUGCGGGUAAUCUUUUUAGUACGUGUCGUGUUAGGGAUCGAUCUUUGGAAUUAUAGAUCUUGAACGAGGAAUUCCUAGUAAGUGCAAGUCAUCAGCUUGUACUGAUUACGUCCCUGCCCUUUGUACACACCGCCCGUCGCUCCUACCGAUUUCGAGUGACACGGUGAACCUUUUGGACUGCGACGGUCCCCGAGGCCGCUGCGGGAAGACAAGUAAACCUUAUCACUUAGAGGAAGGAGAAGUCGUAACA